Molecule: long non-coding RNA, 1048 nt
Filed under: Salmo trutta (river trout)
Lineage: Eukaryota; Metazoa; Chordata; Actinopteri; Salmoniformes; Salmonidae
Description: lncRNA (ENSSTUG00000038712.1)
Source: RNAcentral
CUAUCCCGUUCACAGAGAAAACUUCCCCGUAACUGGGAAGGUAAGGUGUCAUGUUGCUGUGGUAACAGACCUUGUCUGGAAGCGUAAAUAUAGUAUAUUAGCCAAAGGUCAUUGCUCAAGAUACGCAAACUAUCAAGCAAACAUAUUUUGCGGGAGGACAACACAUUUAUGUUUUCCAUGUUAUGCAACCGACAAACAAAUAGCAUACCCAGGAGAAGAAAAACAAAUAGAUAGACCUAUACUAAAAAGUAUUUUUUUCUUCAAUAUCAACAUUUUGCAUUCCGUUAUGUUGAAGGCUUACUUACCUCCAACGGACAGGAUUUCGUUCGUGGCGCGACAAGUCCGUCAGCACUCUGCCCGCAGAGCGUGUGCCGCUGACCCGGUAGAUACUGACGGCAGGUACUGACCCGGUAGGUACUGACGGCAGGUACUGACCCGGUAGAUACUGACGGCAGGUACUGACCCGUUAGGUACUGACGGCAGGUACUGACCCGGUAGGUACUGACGGCAGGUACUGACCCGGUAGGUACUGACGGCAGAUACUGACCCGGUAGGUACUGACGGCAGGUACUGACCCGGUAGGUACUGACCCGGUAGGUACUGACCCGGUAGAUACUGUAGUAUUAUUGGGGAGAAAGGCUACAGUCAUUGGCUACAAUUACAGACGUCGGAUUCUUCAAGCCUUGUACCGAGCGCGCCGCUAUAGUCCGCUACAGCUGGAGAGCACAACCCCGGGGACAGCAACAAUGUUGGGAUAGGUUUGUAGUCCGGCGUUGGUCGUUGGCUAUUCUAGAAAGAAAAAGAAAAUAACUGUUUCAACUGAUGAUGAUGAUGAUGAUGAUGAUGAUGAGUGUAACGAAAGAUACAACACGAACAAAUGUCUCAUUAAAAGUAUACUAGUGAACACAACAAAAAGUUUGUUCUGAAGUUGGUGUGAAAUUAUUUCUCGUCUUCUCUAGCCUACGGUUGUUUGCGCGUAAUAUCUCUUACCACGCUUUGUUGACAAGUUGGGACACACCUUGUCGCUUCGAGGAACCCAAAGCCUCUG